Molecule: ribosomal RNA, 390 nt
Filed under: Streptomyces sp.
Lineage: Bacteria; Bacillati; Actinomycetota; Actinomycetes; Kitasatosporales; Streptomycetaceae
Description: bacterial SSU rRNA
Rfam family: Bacterial small subunit ribosomal RNA
Source: RNAcentral
GGUGAAGGAUGAGCCCGCGGCCUAUCAGCUUGUUGGUGGGGUAAUGGCCUACCAAGGCGACGACGGGUAGCCGGCCUGAGAGGGCGACCGGCCACACUGGGACUGAGACACGGCCCAGACUCCUACGGGAGGCAGCAGUGGGGAAUAUUGCACAAUGGGCGAAAGCCUGAUGCAGCGACGCCGCGUGAGGGAUGACGGCCUUCGGGUUGUAAACCUCUUUCAGCAGGGAAGAAGCGAAAGUGACGGUACCUGCAGAAGAAGCGCCGGCUAACUACGUGCCAGCAGCCGCGGUAAUACGUAGGGCGCAAGCGUUGUCCGGAAUUAUUGGGCGUAAAGAGCUCGUAGGCGGCUUGUCACGUCGGGUGUGAAAGCCCGGGGCUUAACCCCGGG